AGACCGUGAUGUGGGCAUUUCCUUAAUAGCUCAUUGAACCUCUCCCAUGUCUCGUACAACGAUUCCUCAUUUUCUUAAGAGUAGGUGUCAAUCUCUGUCAUGAGUUU
RNAcentral lists this small nucleolar RNA (107 nucleotides) under Helianthus annuus (common sunflower). Its description in RNAcentral is "Plant small nucleolar RNA R71". It matches the Rfam family "Plant small nucleolar RNA R71". Rfam says of the family: R71 is a member of the C/D box family of snoRNAs containing the C (UGAUGA) and D (CUGA) box motifs. Multiple nearly identical copies of this snoRNA have been identified in Arabidopsis, and it is thought to function as a 2'-O-ribose methylation guide for 18S ribosomal RNA. The record is from RNAcentral. Lineage: Eukaryota; Viridiplantae; Streptophyta; Magnoliopsida; Asterales; Asteraceae.